CCAGCAACACAAGGGGAAGCUACUCUGCAAUAUCAUUAAAAGGCGGCAUCUAUUGCGAAGUUACAGCGCGGAUUUUGUGUCAUCAUCAAAGCCAGGUGCAAAGUGCUUUACAUGCAGGCGUCUGAGCAGACCUCUUAUAAAGGAGCAUCUUCUUCAGAGUGGGCUGUUCAGUGGAGUGUGUCUACUGUCGCCACAAGGGGAGAGCAUCUAUACAUAUGGUUCCUUGCAGCAUUUGUUCAAAGAUGAUGCUCAGCAGUUUUUGAGAGCCUUUAGAACAAUAUCAAAAAAAGCAGAGGAAGAAACUAUACAAAAGGGUUUCCACCUGAGUCUUGAUUUGAGCCUGAAAAAUAAGGUUUUCAAGAUCUAUCACAAGACGUACACCAGCAUCUACUCAGUGUCAACUGACAAUCAGAUGGGUUUGCUUGUCAGCAAGUUACCAUAUGCUGUGAUGGUCUGUGUGUAUUCUUCUCCAGUAACCUCUGCUAAAGCUGUCAAACAGCUGGAAUACUUCUGUGACAAAAUGCAUUCUUAAAAUUAAUUGUAGCAUCUGGUUAUUGUCUUAAAAGAUUCAAAAUAAAAAAAGAAAGUAAAAAGGUUUACAGCAGCUACCAAAUGCAGCAUAAACUUUUCCAUGAAGAGUAUCUGCAUUGUAUGGUUCAUGAUGUACUAUCUGCAUUCCUAUGAAUGUUCUUGUGUUUCUAAGUAUUGUUAUGGUGCCUCAUAAUGUUUGGACUCAUACUUAUAAUUCACUUUUACUUAGAAACAUAUUGUACAGAUCAAAAUUAACUUCAAGUAGUACAAUGUCUUUUGCUGUAAACGUCUUUAUCACUGUGUUCCUGAUGACCUUCCUGCCUUGACCUCCAGACUCCAUUCUGCCCACUUCAUUCAGUGGCUGAUACACACCUACUUCCCAUUCCCAGCAUAUACAGCUUACAGAGGUCCCUCUCUCUUUGCCAAGCUGUUUGAGUGGUUUCAAGUAGCUGCUUAAGACUGGCCACUUUAACAUGACUUUCAAACACUUCAGAAUCUUGAACUUUUAUGGGAUCAAUGUGCUUUACAAAUCACAUAAACUUAUAAUAAACUUAGACCAUUUUUCUGGAGAUAUAUUCCCAAUACUGCAUCUGAUGAUAAGUUCAUCUGAUCUCAGGAGCCAAUGAUUAAAAAGUCUUAUUAACAUCUAUUUUGGGACGAUUUCUCUGCAGAAUAAAAGAUUGCUUUAUAUUGC
RNAcentral lists this unclassified non-coding RNA (1225 nucleotides) under Pomacea canaliculata. RNAcentral's name for it is "uncharacterized LOC112571189, transcript variant X3". The record is from RNAcentral. Lineage: Eukaryota; Metazoa; Mollusca; Gastropoda; Architaenioglossa; Ampullariidae.